GGACGGAGUGUCAACUGCGUCAAUGUCGACGACUAUCGGAGAUGGCGUAAUGUCAACUGAGUCGAUGUCGACAGCUAUGGGAGGGGGCGGAGUGUCAACUGCGUCCAUGUCGAC
Long non-coding RNA from Branchiostoma belcheri (Belcher's lancelet), 114 nucleotides. RefSeq lists it as uncharacterized. The transcript is spliced from 3 exons. Lineage: Eukaryota; Metazoa; Chordata; Leptocardii; Amphioxiformes; Branchiostomatidae. The record is from RefSeq and is a predicted model, not a curated record.